UGAAUACGAGAUGCUACGGCGUCGAAGCAGUCUAUGUCAUACUUCCAAGAAAAGCUUGCACUGUCAUAAACAAAUAAUGCCUGUACCAUAACCGACACAGGUGGGUAGGUAGAGUAUACUAAGGGGCGCGAGAUAACUCUCUCUAAGGAACUCGGCAAAAUGACUCCGUAACUUCGGGAGAAGGAGUGCCUUAUUUAUAAGGUUGCAAUAACAAGACCCAAGCAACUGUUUAUCAAAAACACAGGUCUCCGCUAAGUCGUAAGACGAUGUAUGGGGGCUGACGCCUGCCCAGUGCCAGAAGGUUAAAGAAGUUGGUUAGCAUUAGCGAAGCUGAUGACUGAAGCCCUGGUGAACGGCGGCCGUAACGAUAACGGUCCUAAGGUAGCGAAAUUCCUUGUCGGGUAAGUUCCGACCCGCACGAAAGGCGUAAUGAUUUGGGUACUGUCUCAGAGAGGGACUCGGUGAAAUAGACUUGUCUGUGAAGAUGCGGACUACCUGCACCUGGACAGAAAGACCCUAUGAAGCUUUACUGUAACCUGAAAUUGAAAUUGGACUUUAUUUGCGCAGUAUAGGUGGGAGGCUUUGAAGAUAUUCUUGCGGGAAUGUUGGAGCCAUCAGUGAGAUACCACUCUUGUAAUGUUAGAUUUCUAACUUUGUAUCAUUAUCUGGUCAAAGAACAGUUUCAGGCGGGCAGUUUGACUGGGGCGGUCGCCUCCUAAACGGUAACGGAGGCGCACAAAGGUUUCCUCUGAACGGGUAGAAAUCGUAUCUAGAGUGUAAAGGCAUAAGGAAGCUUGACUGUGAGACCUACAAGUCGAGCAGGGACGAAAGUCGGUCUUAGUGAUCUGACGGUGCUGAGUGGAAAGGCCGUCACUCAACGGAUAAAAGUUACUCUAGGGAUAACAGGCUGAUCUCCCCCAAGAGUUCACAUCGACGGGGAGGUUUGGCACCUCGAUGUCGGUUCAUCGCAUCCUGGGGCGGUAGUACGUCCCAAGGGUUGGGCUGUUCGCCCAUGAAAGCGGUACGCGAGCUGGGUUCAGAACGUCGUGAGACAGUUCGGUCCAUAUCCGGUGUAGGCGUUAGAAUAUUGAGAGGAGCCUUCUCUAGUACGAGAGGACCGAGAAGGACACACCUCUGGUGUACCAGUUAUCGUGCCAACGGUAAACGCUGGGUAGCUAUGUGUGGAGCGGAUAACCGCUGAAAGCAUCUAAGUGGGAAGCCCACCUCAAGAUAAGUAUUCUCAC
RNAcentral lists this ribosomal RNA (1244 nucleotides) under metagenome. RNAcentral describes it as "bacterial LSU rRNA". It matches the Rfam family "Bacterial large subunit ribosomal RNA", at positions 1564 to 2817 of the family's 2925-position model. The record is from RNAcentral.